GCAACUGUGGCGGAGUGGUCUAACGCGUUAGUUUUAAGCACUAAUAACCGGAAGGUUGCGCAAGUUCGAACCUUGCCAGUUGCA
Molecule: transfer RNA, 84 nt
Filed under: Phaeoacremonium minimum UCRPA7
Lineage: Eukaryota; Fungi; Ascomycota; Sordariomycetes; Togniniales; Togniniaceae
Description: tRNA-Leu (TAA) (tRNA-Leu-TAA-1-1)
Rfam family: tRNA
About the family: Transfer RNA (tRNA) molecules are approximately 80 nucleotides in length. Their secondary structure includes four short double-helical elements and three loops (D, anti-codon, and T loops).
Source: Rfam by way of RNAcentral